This 28-nucleotide non-coding RNA is filed under the name Rattus norvegicus (Norway rat). Lineage: Eukaryota; Metazoa; Chordata; Mammalia; Rodentia; Muridae. The record is from RNAcentral.
UGGAAUAGACACCUGAGCACAAAACAAA